CGAAUGCUGACAUAAGUAACGAUAAAGCGGGUGAAAAGCCCGCUCGCCGGAAGACCAAGGGUUCCUGUCCAACGUUAAUCGGGGCAGGGUGAGUCGACCCCUAAGGCGAGGCCGAAAGGCGUAGUCGAUGGGAAACAGGUUAAUAUUCCUGUACUUGGUGUUACUGCGAAGGGGGGACGGAGAAGGCUAUGUUGGCCGGGCGACGGUUGUCCCGGUUUAAGCGUGUAGGCUGGUUUUCCAGGCAAAUCCGGAAAAUCAAGGCUGAGGCGUGAUGACGAGGCACUACGGUGCUGAAGCAACAAAUGCCCUGCUUCCAGGAAAAGCCUCUAAGCAUCAGGUAACAUCAAAUCGUACCCCAAACCGACACAGGUGGUCAGGUAGAGAAUACCAAGGCGCUUGAGAGAACUCGGGUGAAGGAACUAGGCAAAAUGGUGCCGUAACUUCGGGAGAAGGCACGCUGAUAUGUAGGUGAAGCGACUUGCUCGUGGAGCUGAAAUCAGUCGAAGAUACCAGCUGGCUGCAACUGUUUAUUAAAAACACAGCACUGUGCAAACACGAAAGUGGACGUAUACGGUGUGACGCCUGCCCGGUGCCGGAA
Molecule: ribosomal RNA, 598 nt
Filed under: Escherichia coli
Lineage: Bacteria; Pseudomonadati; Pseudomonadota; Gammaproteobacteria; Enterobacterales; Enterobacteriaceae
Description: partial 23S ribosomal RNA
Rfam family: Bacterial large subunit ribosomal RNA
Source: RNAcentral